This 1921-nucleotide long non-coding RNA is filed under the name Sus scrofa (pig). RNAcentral describes it as "lncRNA (ENSSSCG00050064401.1)". Lineage: Eukaryota; Metazoa; Chordata; Mammalia; Artiodactyla; Suidae. The record is from RNAcentral.
CUCUUGUCUAAGGGUGGCAAUGCUUGCUACAGGUCCAGGUGGCACAUGCAUAGGCCACACUGACUUGGGAUGGUUAGCAGUGUUCUGGGCCAGCUGCCAAGUCUGCCCUGGGGUUGUUCCUGAUUGGGCAAUUUAGGUCACAGGCCCAUCUCUGGAGCAAAGAGAUUGUGGCCUGGAUGGGGAGGAGGAAUCGGGGUUGGCCCCAGGCUCAGGAGUUGAGAGGAAGAGUGGAGAGUGGAAUGAACCCGGGCUGUCCCUAAAAAGAAAGGGAGGGACGGAUGUGGACAGGGGCCUCCAGCAAGCACAGUGGAGGGGACAGGAGAGAUUGACAAGCAAAGCCCUCGGGCGGCUCCGGCUGCUUGAGGAUGAGGAUGCAGAGUUCUCCCUGCUCGGCUUCAGGUGGACUUGCUGCCCUGGGAGGGGGCCUGGUGCUUCCAGAAGCAGCUUCGCACGUAAAGGGCACCCAGGUGCAGGACCUGCCUGUGUCCUCCGAGGCGCUGUCGGCCUGCGGGCUUGUGGCGGGGCCUCCGGGUGAAGCUCGAGGAGUGGAGCUGGGCCGGAUCGAUCGCUUCGUUUGGAUGGAAAAGAACCUAAAAUUUCUCAAUAAGGUUUCUAUUGAUUAGACGGUGGAAUGACCAUAUUUGGGGCAUGCUCAUGGGUUAAAUUCACUUGUUUGAUUUUCCUUUUUUGGGGGGCCGCAUUCGAGAGACAUGGAAGGUCCCUGGGCCAGGGAUUGAAUCAGAGCCGCAUGGGCGACCUACGCCACAGCUGAGGUAACACGGGACCCUUAACCCACUGCAGCACAGCGGGAACUCCCUGCUGCACGUCUCUGAGCCACACUGUCUUCCUUGAGGAGGCGCUGCUGAGGGUGACGGAGACCCCCCUACUGGAGGUGCCACUGAGGUGUGGCAGGGAGGGGGCAUCCAUCCAUCUGUCCCCAGGCCUCGGACCCUGGUGCCUGAGAGACACGGAUGCUGCAAGACUCCAUCUCCAGCACCACCACUGCUGCGCUCAGACCCUGGGGCUCUGUCAGGAGUCUGCCCUGCACGGCUUUUAUCAAAACAUCCAAAACUAGGCCAGAGACAAGGCCAGGGAACCUGCAGCCCUCGGGCCACUCCAGGCCGCCUACCAGGUUCCGGCAGAGCUGCCGGGCGGGACGUGGACCCCGCGGGCACUUUCGAGCCUCUGCACCCCAGCGUCCCUUCUGCUGCCGUGCUGUGGCCUCAGGGACAGUCACAAAGCCGGGCAGCAAAAGAGUUCUCCACAGAGCGCUGCUGGAGUCCGGGAGCCUGGAGUCCGUGAACCUGGACGAGAAAACAGUCACAUCCAUAUCGGCACCAACUAAAUUCAGCAUCGCCCUGCCUUGUGAAUGUGAGCAGCAAAACCCAGUGAGGUCUGUGGUUUUGCCACCAAUGUUAUCAACCACAAACCCCACUGGGUUUCCGAGCGUCCUACCUUUAUUGCAGAAAUUUCAGGACGGCAUUUGGACUCAAAUCACGGUAGUUCUUAAAUCCGCUACUAGAUAUUCUUUUAAAUGUGCUAGGAAGAAGUAGGAGUUCCCCGGUGGCCUAGCUGGUUAGGAAUCCUGCAUUAUCACUGCUGUAGCUGGGUUAGAUUCCUGGCCUGGGAGUGUCUGCAGGCUGCUGGCCAAAAAAAAAAAGAAGAAGAAGGAGAAAAGGAAGAGGAAGAGGAAGAAAAGAAGAAGAGGCAUGUAUAUUAAACAAUAGUUUGACAAAUUUCAGUGCAUUUGGCUUCCUUUAUAAUCCUACGUAUUUUGCUAUUUUGCAUUGUGCAUUUAAAAACAUGAUCCUGGAGUUCCCGUNUUAAUUUUUUUUUUUUUUUUUUUUGGCUGUGCCCAAGGCAGGUGGAAGUUCCCCAGCCAGGGACUGAAUCUGAGCCACGACAGUGACCCAAGCCACCG